CAUCUAUUUACAUAUCGAUGGAAUAACUGCAAAAAUAUGUACAUAAAGUUAUCAUUCACAUCAAAACCUAGUUUUUAACUGGAAAACUAGAUCAAUUAAACAUCGAAAAUAGUUGUAUUACUAGUAAACAACACUCAACAACGAAUGGGAAGUCAAAAAUAGUAUCAAAACACUUUUGAGGGAUUCACAAAUUGAUGGUGUAAAUUAAAGAAAGCAACGCAAAUCCAUUAAAUGUCUGACAAGAGACGACUGCCUCCGGCUGAUGCCGCCAGUGAUCGCCACCGUGCUCCCGUCAAUUGAAAUAAAUUAAAAAAAAUUAACUGAACAUGAUGUGCGGUAGUAAAAAGUGCAACGUCAGUUCUCCACUUAACGGUGAUGAUAGGUGAAAUUAAAUUGUUAGUUAUCAUUAUCAUAUUUGCACUUUGUCUCUUAAGUGAAUAUACGAGUAAAAAAAUAUAUAUAUGUGCAUAGUGUGAUAGUAAAAAUACAUUAACGAGUCAAUAAAUCUCUCAUCAUUUUAAAGGGAAUGACUCCAUUGAAUUAGUCUUUUUCGUGGGUGUAAAAAACAAAGUGUCACUCAAAACUGAAUGCCUUAAAUAAUGAGAAAUUAGGUAAAUAGCAUUGAAGUAGCACAAUUUCUCAUUUAAAUACAUAGUGAAUCAUUUUUUGAUAAUGACUAAGAUAUAAUGAUCUGCAAAUUUCUUCUGAAAUAUACCCACAGUCAAAAACGUGUUUGGAAAAAAAAUUGUUUUUAUUUCAACAGUUCUGUAUUUUUGGGGACAGUGAUUGUCAACAGGAAUGUGUUUUGAAUUAUCAAUGUUGUUUUCUGUCUUUCCUUAAAGGAAAUAUUCCCUCCUGAUGGAAAUAAUUCUACGAAAAAAAAGUACCAUGAAUGUUUUGAAGUUGUCAUAUUAAAUUAUUUAAUUGAUUCACUAACGUUAAUGAUUUUUUUUAUCACACCAUAAAAAUGGUAAAUAUAAAAUGUCCAUCAUAUUGUCAACAAACAGAACCUUUACGAGCUUCUUGAUUGAGAUAAGAAAGCAUAAAAAGUAAAUUGACGUUAUAGUACGUACAUGCGAAAGAAUUUAUUUCGUUGAUUCUGUGUUUAAACCUUAACCUAUAUUUCUAAGUGCUGAUGAGAUGUUCUUUAAAUUUACAAAUAUAGGUUGAAAUAUGGAAUUUGUCGAUUAACAGAUUAAAAGGGUGGGCUAAAUGUCGGAGAAUUAUCGGAGAAAAAUGGUCCAACUCUCCAUAGUUCGCAGAAAAUUGACACUCAACAUGGAUAACAAAGUGGCUGGUCAUCCGCCUUCAGUUACUAAUUCAAUCAAACGAUUUGUUUAAUAAUAAGAGCUCUUUUUUCAGGAUUCUCCUCUGACUAAUGCAUACAUUUUAAGAAAGAUAUAUAAGGAGUUGAUGUUCCACAUACUAUUAUGACAGGGACCUUGAGCGUUGUCCAUUGGCAGGGCAGUCUAACGAAAUUCGUACACAAACUUUCAUACAACAAACACGAUGUGUGCUUAAUUUUUUUUCCAAAACUUCUUUUCAAAAAAUAUAUGUUCAAUAUUUUCCAACAAAGCUUAAGCGUAAGGCGACUCAUUUUGUUGCUCGUAAGUUUUGCCCUUUGUUAGUGUCAGGAAGGUUAGCGUCAAACUAAUGUGAAUGGGAACCACAACUGAACUUCAAGUUUUUAUACCAUUUCAUUUGACAUUUCUCAAUUUAAGAAAAAAUUGAAUUUGAAACACGCAUUAAAGUUAUUCAAGCUUAUUAUGAAAAUAGGCGUUCAAAUAAAAAGGUAUAUCGUGCACUUCCUGAUUUUUUCGGUCAAUUUAUUCGUCCAAAUGGCCCACCGUCCAAAAAAUCGUCUAAGAAUUUGAUCAAACCGGUCUGUAGGAGAUGUCAAAACACCAAUGCAUGCUCGUUCUGCUUGUACUGAAAUAUUGCUGCUAUUUCCGAUAG
Long non-coding RNA from Eupeodes corollae, 1956 nucleotides. RefSeq lists it as uncharacterized. The record is from RefSeq and is a predicted model, not a curated record. Lineage: Eukaryota; Metazoa; Arthropoda; Insecta; Diptera; Syrphidae. The transcript has 3 exons.